UACGGGGGGGGUAAGCGUUGUUCGGAAUUACUGGGCGUAAAGGGCUCGUAGGCGGCCAACUAAGUCAUACGUGAAAUCCCUCAGCUUAACUGGGGAACUGCGUGUGAUACUGGCGGGCUUGAAUUCGGGAGAGGGAUGUGGAGUUCCAGGUGUAGCGGUGAAAUGCGUAGAUAUCGCUUGGAACGCCGACGGUGAAAACAGGUUGCUGGGGGUGUGCCGACGCUGAGACACGAAAGCCAGGGGAGCGAACGGG
This 253-nucleotide ribosomal RNA is filed under the name uncultured bacterium. Its description in RNAcentral is "partial 16S ribosomal RNA". It matches the Rfam family "Bacterial small subunit ribosomal RNA", at positions 524 to 776 of the family's 1533-position model. The record is from RNAcentral.